This 626-nucleotide long non-coding RNA is filed under the name Sorghum bicolor (sorghum). RNAcentral describes it as "long non-coding RNA (SBIC_LNC001903)". The record is from RNAcentral. Lineage: Eukaryota; Viridiplantae; Streptophyta; Magnoliopsida; Poales; Poaceae.
CUGUGUUAUAUGUGGCCUUCCUCGGUGGGUGGCAGGAGCGGCGCCGACGCCGUCUGGUAGGGGAGCUUGUUGAGGCGGAUGCGGCAGUAGCAUGGCGCCGUGGUCGGGUGCACCCCGGAGCCGGACGAGGCGGUGCUGCGUGGCCGGCAGGCAGGUCGCAAUGCCUGCGACGACGACGAGUCGGUGAUGCGAGGCGAGGCAAUGCGGGUGGGUGGCGGCAAUGGCGGGCGGAAUCGGAGACGAAGACCGGAAGGGGGGGGAAGAGGAAGAGGAAAGGUUGGCACGGCUGGGGUGUGUUUUCGAUGGGGAAGGAGUGGUGACCAGCCUGGAUCCUGGUCCGGUGAGCUGUUCCCCUGCGCGCGCGGGGGCCUGGGCCUAUUUCCUCGUCGCCAGCGGUCCCGGCCCUGUCGCGGACACGUGGGUCCGGACCCGUGAGGUGGACAUGGAUCCCAGCUGUCAGUGUGAGAAUGUGGAUGCGAACUCGGUGGAGUCAGGAUAAGGCUGGUGGUGGGCGUACGGGGAGGCGCGCGGGGCCGGUCCUCUCUGCCCGGUCAGUCCACUCCAGUCCAGUACAGCUGCAUGCCAGGCGCUUUUGCGGUGGGGCAGCGUGGGGUCGUCCCUGUGGC